ACACAUGCAAGUCGAACGGUGAAGCCCAGCUUGCUGGGUGGAUCAGUGGCGAACGGGUGAGUAACACGUGAGCAAUCUGCCCCUGACUCUGGGAUAAGCGCUGGAAACGGCGUCUAAUACUGGAUAUGAGCUGCGAUCGCAUGGUCAGUAGCUGGAAAGAUUUUUUGGUCAGGGAUGAGCUCGCGGCCUAUCAGCUUGUUGGUGAGGUAAUGGCUCACCAAGGCGUCGACGGGUAGCCGGCCUGAGAGGGUGACCGGCCACACUGGGACUGAGACACGGCCCAGACUCCUACGGGAGGCAGCAGUGGGGAAUAUUGCACAAUGGGCGCAAGCCUGAUGCAGCAACGCCGCGUGAGGGAUGACGGCCUUCGGGUUGUAAACCUCUUUUAGCAGGGAAGAAGCGAAAGUGACGGUACCUGCAGAAAAAGCGCCGGCUAACUACGUGCCAGCAGCCGCGGUAAUACGUAGGGCGCAAGCGUUAUCCGGAAUUAUUGGGCGUAAAGAGCUCGUAGGCGGUUUGUCGCGUCUGCUGUGAAAUCCCGAGGCUCAACCUCGGGUCUGCAGUGGGUACGGGCAGACUAGAGUGCGGUAGGGGAGAUUGGAAUUCCUGGUGUAGCGGUGGAAUGCGCAGAUAUCAGGAGGAACACCGAUGGCGAAGGCAGAUCUCUGGGCCGUAACUGACGCUGAGGAGCGAAAGGGUGGGGAGCAAACAGGCUUAGAUACCCUGGUAGUCCACCCCGUAAACGU
Molecule: ribosomal RNA, 746 nt
Filed under: Microbacterium sp. JDM-3-07
Lineage: Bacteria; Bacillati; Actinomycetota; Actinomycetes; Micrococcales; Microbacteriaceae
Description: bacterial SSU rRNA
Rfam family: Bacterial small subunit ribosomal RNA
Source: RNAcentral